Small nuclear RNA from Oryctolagus cuniculus (rabbit), 190 nucleotides. Its record names the gene U2. It matches the Rfam family "U2 spliceosomal RNA". From Rfam's summary of the family: U2 is a small nuclear RNA (snRNA) component of the spliceosome (involved in pre-mRNA splicing). Complementary binding between U2 snRNA (in an area lying towards the 5' end but 3' to hairpin I) and the branchpoint sequence (BPS) of the intron results the bulging out of an unpaired adenosine, on the BPS, which initiates a nucleophilic attack at the intronic 5' splice site, thus starting the first of two transesterification reactions that mediate splicing. The record is from Ensembl. Lineage: Eukaryota; Metazoa; Chordata; Mammalia; Lagomorpha; Leporidae.
AUCGCUUCUUGGCCUUUUGGCUAAGAUCAAGUGUAGUAUCUGUUCUUAUCAGUUUAAUAAUGAAAUUAAAUCAUAUGGGAAACAAUGACGCAAACUGUCAAGUAUUCUUUCAAGUUUUUGUAUUCAAUUUUGAAUGUGUUGAACUAUAAUUUCAGUCUAUUGCAUUUCUUUGAAUCUGAAAUCUAUCACU